AUUGAACGCUGGCGGCAUGCCUUACACAUGCAAGUCGAACGGCAGCACGGGUGCUUGCACCUGGUGGCGAGUGGCGAACGGGUGAGUAAUACAUCGGAACAUGUCCUUUAGUGGGGGAUAGCCCGGCGAAAGCCGGAUUAAUACCGCAUACGAUCCACGGAUGAAAGCGGGGGACCUUCGGGCCUCGCGCUAUAGGGUUGGCCGAUGGCUGAUUAGCUAGUUGGUGGGGUAAAGGCCUACCAAGGCGACGAUCAGUAGCUGGUCUGAGAGGACGACCAGCCACACUGGGACUGAGACACGGCCCAGACUCCUACGGGAGGCAGCAGUGGGGAAUGUUGGACAAUGGGCGAAAGCCUGAUCCAGCAAUGCCGCGUGUGUGAAGAAGGCCUUCGGGUUGUAAAGCACUUUUGUCCGGAAAGAAAUCCUUGGCUCUAAUACAGUCGGGGGAUGACGGUACCGGAAGAAUAAGCACCGGCUAACUACGUG
Molecule: ribosomal RNA, 486 nt
Filed under: uncultured bacterium
Lineage: Bacteria
Description: partial 16S ribosomal RNA
Rfam family: Bacterial small subunit ribosomal RNA
Source: RNAcentral